CCCCCCCCCUUUUGCCUUCGGUUCUGUAUGAUUGCUAAUUUGGGGUUUGCAUCAAGGUUGGGGUAUUAGAUUUGGGUUCGAGGUAUGAUGGUAGAGUUGAGCUGGUAUGGGUUAAUGUUGUUGUUGUUCUGUUCUCUGUGUCUUUAGUCCACUGAAAUUAGAAAAUAUAAAUCAAUUUCGAGAUUAUCUAGAAGUAACAUUCUUGGUUGGGUCUGCUGAAUUUGUUGCCUGUUACCUUUAAUAACUGGGUUCGGGAAUGAUGGGGAGUGGAAUUGAUGCAAUCUUGAAUACGGCUUGGUGUGGGAUAUCGUGGAACAUGAUUUGUGGUCAUUAGCUGUUGGGACCUCACAUGGCUAGGUGUUUGUAUUAAUCUAGCUAUGAUAUGAAUUUUUCCGUUUAAAAAAUAUGCCUACUAUAUGGAUAUUUGUCUGUUCAUCUGUGUCCAUAUACCGGACUUUAUCUGUUUCUUACUUAUGAUAUUGUGUCGAGGUUGAAGGUUGGUGUGGUGGUGGAAUCCAAGUGGAAGAAGGAUCUUGAAUUUUGGUGUGGUGGUGGCUCUGUUUUAGUUUUGUUUCCAGUUUUUUAUGAUGAUAGUUGUUCAAAGAGGUGGGUUGUGGAGAGGAGGUGCAAAGAAGAUGGAAACAAGUUUUGUUAAAAGGGGCUUUAAGAAGAAGAAAAAGUGUGGUUGAGAACGGAGUGAUGACGGUGCUGCUGUGGUGGUGGUGGUGAGAGGGAAGAAGAUGAUGGAUGACAUAUUAAUCUUUUUAAAAGUAAUAAUUAAUGAUUAUGUGGUAUAAUAGAUGACACAUAAGAAAUAAAAAAAUAAAAAAAGUGACACAU
RNAcentral lists this long non-coding RNA (840 nucleotides) under Lotus japonicus. RNAcentral's name for it is "long non-coding RNA (LJAP_LNC001138)". The record is from RNAcentral. Lineage: Eukaryota; Viridiplantae; Streptophyta; Magnoliopsida; Fabales; Fabaceae.